Molecule: ribosomal RNA, 329 nt
Filed under: uncultured soil bacterium
Lineage: Bacteria
Description: bacterial SSU rRNA
Rfam family: Bacterial small subunit ribosomal RNA
Source: RNAcentral
AGAACGAACGCUGGCGGCAUGCCUAAUACAUGCAAGUCGAACGAACACUUCGGUGUUAGUGGCGCACGGGUGCGUAACGCGUGGGAAUCUGCCCUUGGGUUCGGAAUAACAGUUGGAAACGACUGCUAAUACCGGAUGAUAUCGAAAGAUCAAAGAUUUAUCGCCCAGGGAUGAGCCCGCGUAGGAUUAGCUAGUUGGUGAGGUAAAGGCUCACCAAGGCGACGAUCCUUAGCUGGUCUGAGAGGAUGAUCAGCCACACUGGGACUGAGACACGGCCCAGACUCCUACGGGAGGCAGCAGUAGGGAAUAUUGGACAAUGGGCGCAAGCC